Molecule: ribosomal RNA, 305 nt
Filed under: uncultured bacterium
Lineage: Bacteria
Description: bacterial SSU rRNA
Rfam family: Bacterial small subunit ribosomal RNA
Source: RNAcentral
UCCUACGGGACGCAGCAGUAGGGAAUCUUCCACAAUGGACGAAAGUCUGAUGGAGCAACGCCGCGUGAGUGAAGAAGGGUUUCUGCUCGUAAGGCUCUGUUGGUAGUGAAGAAAGAUAGAGGUAGUAACUGGCCUUUAUUUGACGGUAAUUACUUAGAAAGUCACGGCUAACUACGUGCCAGCAGCCGCGGUAAUACGUAGGUGGCAAGCGUUGUCCGGAUUUAUUGGGCGUAAAGCGAGUGCAGGCGGGUCAAUAAGUCUGAUGGUGAAGCCUUCGGCUCAACCGGAGAAUUGGAUCAGAAACU